UGAAAUUCUAGCCAAGUUACAUAUAUAACUUGUCGCAAUCCGACACACGGAUUAAAAGUUACAAACGUUUUAAAAUAUACAUCUUUUUGAAAUCCCUAGUAGUAGAUAAAAUCGCCGAACUCGAAAAAAACUAAUAUUGGCUGAAACUAGUGGCGCAAUAUAGUUCUUCUGUGCCUCGGGCGCAAUAAAACAGAGGUGGGGCUGGAGCUCACCCAAGUGGCCAUGGGCCGGCUCGAUGGGGCUUGCGAGGCCUCCGCUGGCUGGAGCUGGGCCGACUUCGGCUAGGGCGCUGCUGGUCCGGGAUGCCAAGCUGGCCCAGGAGCAGGGCAAGCCCCACGCAAUAGAGGUCUGGAGAGAUGCUCGUUGACAGAGCGGUUCCUGCUCGUUGCAGAGGAAACAUGCGCAGUCAACGGCGACUCCAUGCGAGGGAGGUCCGACAGGGCACGACCAGCGAAUAUGGCGGGGAUGGGUCGGGGGCGUACAAAGCCGGUCGGGGGCGAGGUGAGGCGGAGCUUUCGGCAAGGACGACGGCUGCUCGAGUCCAUUUGGGCAGACAUGGAGUUCAUGGAUGCCAUGGUUGUUCCUGAACAACAGAGAAGAAAGGGAGAGCAGGGAGGUUAGAAAGACAGGAAUGAUGGAAAGCAAGGAGAGGGGCAGAUGCUCAAGGCUGUUGUGACCUGGUGGUGGCGCUCGCCGAUGCUACUCCGAUCCAACCUGGAUCGAGGCUAGAGAAGAGGGGAACGAGGCGCUCGGCCUUACGGGGAUGUUGGUCGCUGCAUCGAGGAGGCCUCCCAUUCGCCCGAUCUAACCACACACGGCCAGGAUUGCUGGAUCUAACUAACCCGCGUUGGCUGGUUGAAUGAAGUUGUGGCGGCGGAUCCAGACAGGGAGGAUCCUGAGGAGGGAGCUNAACUCGAAAAAAACUAAUAUUGGCUGAAACUAGUGGCGCAAUAUAGUUCUUCUGUGCCUCGGGCGCAAUAAAACAGAGGUGGGGCUGGAGCUCACCCAAGUGGCCAUGGGCCGGCUCGAUGGGGCUUGCGAGGCCUCCGCUGGCUGGAGCUGGGCCGACUUCGGCUAGGGCGCUGCUGGUCCGGGAUGCCAAGCUGGCCCAGGAGCAGGGCAAGCCCCACGCAAUAGAGGUCUGGAGAGAUGCUCGUUGACAGAGCGGUUCCUGCUCGUUGCAGAGGAAACAUGCGCAGUCAACGGCGACUCCAUGCGAGGGAGGUCCGACAGGGCACGACCAGCGAAUAUGGCGGGGAUGGGUCGGGGGCGUACAAAGCCGGUCGGGGGCGAGGUGAGG
This 1300-nucleotide long non-coding RNA is filed under the name Hordeum vulgare. RNAcentral describes it as "long non-coding RNA (HVUL_LNC006938)". The record is from RNAcentral. Lineage: Eukaryota; Viridiplantae; Streptophyta; Magnoliopsida; Poales; Poaceae.